RNAcentral lists this unclassified non-coding RNA (873 nucleotides) under Hevea brasiliensis (rubber tree). The record is from RNAcentral. Lineage: Eukaryota; Viridiplantae; Streptophyta; Magnoliopsida; Malpighiales; Euphorbiaceae.
GUCUUUCUCUGCCUUAGUUUCCUUGGUAUCUUUGGGAAGGACAUUACAGUUGAUGGUGUGCCAAACUGGUCUCUCUUCUUGGAACAAUGGGUGCUUGCAAAGCAUUGGACACUGUAUUGUAAGGGCAUACUUGCAAGUAGAUAGCUCUGUGAUAGAACUAAUCAUAGCUCUAGGCUCUGAGCAUACGAACCUCACCUCAGUUUCACGGGGCUGAUUUGUAAGGUCACACAUGGUUCCAUUUGUGUAUUGAUGAGCAUGAUACCUUUGAGAUGCAUCUUUUGAGCGAGGAUCUUUCAAAGUAGAAACAUCAGAGAGAUUCUGGUUGUACGCAGCUGUUGCUUCUUCAUCAUAAACACCCAAAACAAAUUCUUGAACCACCUUAUCAUCUUCUAAAUGAACUUGCCGCAGCUUCUUCUGAUAGCAGAAUUCAUAAGACCACCAACCCUCUUGUCUGAUGAAACAUCGAUCUUUCAACACUUCAAGCAGCUCAUCUGGUGUUUUCAAUUUGACACGUUUCUCAGUUUCGACAAUCAUGCUGCUCACAUUCAAUUGAUUAACAGGCUUUCCACUCUUGACUUUCUCCACCUUGGGCAAGUAACAUAAAUAAUUCUGUCCAUUCUUGUCAGGCAUAACCACUGACUCCUGGUCAUCAUCAGGAUGAAAAGGUGAGUCUUCUGGAUGGAAUUCAAUCUUAUACUUUGGUUCACGAGAGCUGCGACUGAAGGAACCACCCACAGGACCUGGGAAGAUCUGAUCGGCUAAAACAUGACUCCACAGAGUGUAUACAACAAGAAUUGACCAUAAAAAUCUCAUCUUUCGUAUUGUGUUGUUUUCUCUCUUAUCUGGCUAUAAUAAUCUAUAAACCUUCAAAAA